RNAcentral lists this ribosomal RNA (459 nucleotides) under uncultured bacterium. Its description in RNAcentral is "partial 16S ribosomal RNA". It matches the Rfam family "Bacterial small subunit ribosomal RNA", at positions 339 to 795 of the family's 1533-position model. The record is from RNAcentral.
CUACGGGGCGCUGCAGUGAGGAAUAUUGGUCAAUGGGCGCAAGCCUGAACCAGCCAUGCCGCGUGCAGGAAGAAGCAUCUAUGGUGUGUAAACUGCUUUUAUACAGGAAGAAACAACUCUACGUGUAGAGUCUUGACGGUACUGUAGGAAUAAGGAUCGGCUAACUCCGUGCCAGCAGCCGCGGUAAUACGGAGGAUCCAAGCGUUAUCCGGAAUCAUUGGGUCUAAAGGGUCCGUAGGCGGCCUUAUAAGUCAGUGGUGAAAUCUCCUAGCUCAACUAGGAAACUGCCAUUGAUACUGUAAGGCUUGAAUUUUUGUGAAGUAACUAGAAUAUGUAGUGUAGCGGUGAAAUGCUUAGAUAUUACAUGGAAUACCAAUUGCGAAGGCAGGUUACUAACAAACGAUUGACGCUGAUGGACGAAAGCGUGGGGAGCGAACAGGAUUAGAUACCCUGGUAGUC